CCUACGGGUGGCAGCAGUGGGGAAUAUUGGGCCAUGGAGGAGACUCUGACCCAGCAAAGCCGCGUGAAUGAUGAAGGUCUUCGGAUUGUAAAGUUCUUUUCUAAGGGAAGAAGAAAGUGACGGUACCUUAGGACUAAGCCUCGGCUAACUACGUGCCAGCAGCCGCGGUAAUACGUAGGCGGCAAUCGUUAUCCGGAAUGACUGGGCGUAAAGGGUGAGUAGGUGGUUUGACAAGUUGGUAGCGUAAAUCCGGGGCUCCACCGCGGCACUACUACCAAAACUUGUGGACUUGAGUGCAGGAGAGGCAAAUGGAAUUCCUAGUGUAGCGGUGGAAGGCGUAGAUAUUAGGAAGAACACCAGUGGCGAAGGCGAUUUGCUGGACUGUAACUGACACUGAGGCACGAAAGCGUGGGGAGCAAACAGGAUUAGAUACCCCAGUAGUC
This 443-nucleotide ribosomal RNA is filed under the name uncultured bacterium. Its description in RNAcentral is "partial 16S ribosomal RNA". It matches the Rfam family "Bacterial small subunit ribosomal RNA", at positions 338 to 795 of the family's 1533-position model. The record is from RNAcentral.